UACAGAGGGGGCAAGCGUUGUUCGGAAUUACUGGGCGUAAAGGGCGCGUAGGCGGCCUGUUAAGUCGAACGUGAAAUCCCCGGGCUCAACCCGGGAACUGCGUCCGAUACUGGCAGGCUUGAAUCCGGGAGAGGGAUGCGGAAUUCCAGGUGUAGCGGUGAAAUGCGUAGAUAUCUGGAGGAACACCGGUGGCGAAGGCGGCAUCCUGGACCGGCAUUGAUGCUGAGGCGCGAAAGCCAGGGGAGCAAACGGG
Molecule: ribosomal RNA, 253 nt
Filed under: uncultured bacterium
Lineage: Bacteria
Description: partial 16S ribosomal RNA
Rfam family: Bacterial small subunit ribosomal RNA
Source: RNAcentral